RNAcentral lists this ribosomal RNA (372 nucleotides) under uncultured organism. Its description in RNAcentral is "bacterial SSU rRNA". It matches the Rfam family "Bacterial small subunit ribosomal RNA", at positions 526 to 897 of the family's 1533-position model. The record is from RNAcentral.
CAGAGGGUGCGAGCGUUAAUCGGAAUUACUGGGCGUAAAGCGCGCGUAGGCGGCUUUGCAAGUCGGGUGUGAAAUCCCCAGGCUUAACCUGGGAACUGCAUUCGAGACUGCAUUGCUAGAGUAUGGGAGAGGGGAAGUGGAAUUUCCGGUGUAGCGGUGAAAUGCGUAGAUAUCGGAAGGAACAUCAGUGGCGAAAGCGACUUCCUGGACCAAUACUGACGCUCAUGUGCGAAAGCUGGGGAGCAAACGAGGAUUAGAUACCCUGGUAGUCCACGCCAUAAACGAUGAGAACUGGAUGUCGGGAGGGUCUGGCCUCUCGGUGUCGUAGCUAACGCGUUAAGUCUCCGCCUGGGAGUACGGCCGCAAGGUUGA